RNAcentral lists this ribosomal RNA (498 nucleotides) under uncultured bacterium. Its description in RNAcentral is "partial 16S ribosomal RNA". It matches the Rfam family "Bacterial small subunit ribosomal RNA", at positions 30 to 523 of the family's 1533-position model. The record is from RNAcentral.
AUUGAACGCUGGCGGCAUGCCUUACACAUGCAAGUCGAACGGUAACGGGCCUUCGGGUGCCGACGAGUGGCGAACGGGUGAGUAAUACAUCGGAACGAGCCCGAUCGUGGGGGAUAACGAGGCGAAAGCUUUGCUAAUACCGCAUACGAUCUACGGAUGAAAGCAGGGGACCGCAAGGCCUUGCGCGGACGGAGCGGCCGAUGGCAGAUUAGGUAGUUGGUGGGAUAAAAGCUUACCAAGCCGACGAUCUGUAGCUGGUGUGAGAGGAUGAUCAGCCACACUGGGACUGAGACACGGCCCAGACUCCUACGGGAGGCAGCAGUGGGGAAUUUUGGACAAUGGGCGCAAGCCUGAUCCAGCCAUGCCGCGUGCAGGAUGAAGGCCUUCGGGUUGUAAACUGCUUUUGUACGGAACGAAAAGCCUUCUUCUAAUACAGGAGGGUCAUGACGGUACCGUAAGAAUAAGCACCGGCUAACUACGUGCCAGCAGCCGCAGUAA